AAUACACCUACACCUGUACAUUACAAGGUAAGUCUCCCCAUAGAUAAGAACCACUGAGGUCCCAGGUAAGGAGAAAUACGCCUACACCUGUACAUUACAGGUAAGUCUCCCCAUAGAUAAGAACCACUGAGGUCCCAGGUAAGGAGAAAUACACCUACACUUGUACAUUACAGGUAAGUCUCCCCAUAGAUAAGAACCACUGAGGUCCCAGGUAAGGAGAAAUACACCUACACUUGUACGUUACAAGGCAAUUUAAGUCUCCCCAUAGAUAAGAACCACUGAGGUCCCAGGUAAAGAGAAACACACCUACACUUGUACGUUACAAGGUAAUUUAAGUUUCCCCAUAGAUUAAUCAGUCUAAAUUCCAGGUUAGGAGAAACACCCCUUCAUUAUCAAAAUUCUACAUUUAUUUUUAAGGCCAGCUUUCCCAUAGAUAAGUCCCACUAAGGCUGAUUAAAUCAAAACCAAAUACAUGUAUUAUAAAAGAAAUGUUUAAUCCAAUCCUCUAAUAUAGUUACAUGUAAUGUCAUCAUCCAUAAAUAAGAAUAUGUCGUUAACAUCAUCUCAUAACCAAUACUGUAUUUGACUUAAUAAGAGCACUCUGUACUUACAAAAAUACAAGCAGGGUGUGUUGUAUAGAACCAUUUUAGGUUACUGGUUAGGACAAAUUUUCAUGUGAAAUAGAUUUGAAAUUAACCGAUUACGAAGGUCAGUAUCCUUUUUAAAGGUUUUAAUUCAGCACACCUUCCCCUUUCAAGAGAAAAUAUCAAAGAAACUAGUCAAGGAAAUGUCUGUCAGACAGGAAUGUAUAUACUCCUUGCAUCCUGUGCAGAAGGGGUCAGAGGCCAUGACCUUAAUAACUCUUUAACCUUGACCAAUGGCCUCCAGAAUGUAAUCAGGUGUAUAACAUGAUAUUAUGAUAAUGGUAAAACAGUUCUGUUGAUGGGUUCACAAAAUAUGUCAUUGAUAUGGAAGGGGAUAGGACGUAACAGGACUUGUAGGAGUGUGUUCAUAGGGGUAAGUGUGCUUAUUAGGUUAAAUUCAAUAUUAAACAUUAAACCAAUAACAAUCAAUUUUAAACAUAACAUUGUGAUCUUCUCAAUUAAUAUGCAGAUAAUUGAAUCAGUUAAUUUAAAAUACUUUCGUAUCACAAGGAAUAUCAUUUUACAGUUUAAUACAUAAUUCUAAUUAUAAUAAUUCUCAUGAUAUUUGUUUCACACAUUCUAGCAAAACAAGGCUCAAAGGGCCUGUAUCACUCACUAUGAUAUUUAAUAACGUAUAAUUAAUAAAUUCUGGUAUAUAUUUCAGUCUGCAUAUAGCCUGUGUAUAUAUUUAU
Long non-coding RNA from Pecten maximus, 1336 nucleotides. RefSeq lists it as uncharacterized. The transcript is spliced from 2 exons. NCBI's taxonomy places the organism in Eukaryota, Metazoa, Mollusca, Bivalvia, Pectinida, Pectinidae. The record is from RefSeq and is a predicted model, not a curated record.